GACGAGGCACUACGGUGCUGAAGCAACAAAUGCCCUGCUUCCAGGAAAAGCCUCUAAGCAUCAGGUAACAUCAAAUCGUACCCCAAACCGACACAGGUGGUCAGGUAGAGAAUACCAAGGCGCUUGAGAGAACUCGGGUGAAGGAACUAGGCAAAAUGGUGCCGUAACUUCGGGAGAAGGCACGCUGACAUGUAGGUGAAGUGAUUUACUCAUGGAGCUGAAGUCAGUCGAAGAUACCAGCUGGCUGCAACUGUUUAUUAAAAACACAGCACUGUGCAAACACGAAAGUGGACGUAUACGGUGUGACGCCUGCCCGGUGCCGGAAGGUUAAUUGAUGGGGUCAGCGCAAGCGAAGCUCCUGAUCGAAGCCCCGGUAAACGGCGGCCGUAACUAUAACGGUCCUAAGGUAGCGAAAUUCCUUGUCGGGUAAGUUCCGACCUGCACGAAUGGCGUAAUGAUGGCCAGGCUGUCUCCACCCGAGACUCAGUGAAAUUGAACUCGCUGUGAAGAUGCAGUGUACCCGCGGCAAGACGGAAAGACCCCGUGAACCUUUACUAUAGCUUGACACUGAACAUUGAGCCUUGAUGUGUAGGAUAGGUGGGAGGCUUUGAAGCGUGGACGCCAGUCUGCGUGGAGCCGACCUUGAAAUACCACCCUUUAAUGUUUGAUGUUCUAACGUGGAUCCGUAAUCCGGGUUGCGGACAGUGUCUGGUGGGUAGUUUGACUGGGGCGGUCUCCUCCUAAAGAGUAACGGAGGAGCACGAAGGUUGGCUAAUCCUGGUCGGACAUCAGGAGGUUAGUGCAAUGGCAUAAGCCAGCUUGACUGCGAGCGUGACGGCGCGAGCAGGUGCGAAAGCAGGUCAUAGUGAUCCGGUGGUUCUGAAUGGAAGGGCCAUCGCUCAACGGAUAAAAGGUACUCCGGGGAUAACAGGCUGAUACCGCCCAAGAGUUCAUAUCGACGGCGGUGUUUGGCACCUCGAUGUCGGCUCAUCACAUCCUGGGGCUGAAGUAGGUCCCAAGGGUAUGGCUGUUCGCCAUUUAAAGUGGUACGCGAGCUGGGUUUAGAACGUCGUGAGACAGUUCGGUCCCUAUCUGCCGUGGGCGCUGGAGAACUGAGGGGGGCUGCUCCUAGUACGAGAGGACCGGAGUGGACGCAUCACUGGUGUUCGGGUUGUCAUGCCAAUGGCACUGCCCGGUAGCUAAAUGCGGAAGAGAUAAGUGCUGAAAGCAUCUAAGCACGAAACUUGCCCCGA
RNAcentral lists this ribosomal RNA (1253 nucleotides) under Salmonella enterica subsp. enterica serovar Infantis. RNAcentral describes it as "partial 23S ribosomal RNA". It matches the Rfam family "Bacterial large subunit ribosomal RNA", at positions 1568 to 2802 of the family's 2925-position model. The record is from RNAcentral. Lineage: Bacteria; Pseudomonadati; Pseudomonadota; Gammaproteobacteria; Enterobacterales; Enterobacteriaceae.